This 449-nucleotide ribosomal RNA is filed under the name uncultured bacterium. RNAcentral describes it as "partial 16S ribosomal RNA". It matches the Rfam family "Bacterial small subunit ribosomal RNA", at positions 28 to 523 of the family's 1533-position model. The record is from RNAcentral.
GACGAACGCUGGCGGCGUGCUUAACACGUGCAAGUCGAACGCAUCCUUCGGGGUGAGUGGCAGACGGGUGAGUAACGCGUGGGAACGUGCCCUUCAGUUCGGGAUAACCCAGGGAAACUUGGGCUAAUACCGGAUACGUGCGAGAGCAGAAAGAUUUAUCGCUGAAGGAUCGGCCCGCGUCUGAUUAGCUAGUUGGUGGGGUAAUGGCCCACCAAGGCGACGAUCAGUAGCUGGUCUGAGAGGAUGAUCAGCCACAUUGGGACUGAGACACGGCCCAAACUCCUACGGGAGGCAGCAGUGGGGAAUAUUGGACAAUGGGCGCAAGCUUGAUCCAGCCAUGCCGCGUGAGUGAUGAAGGCCUUAGGGUUGUAAAGCUCUUUCGUCCGGGACGAUAAUGACGGUACCGGAAGAAGAAGCCCCGGCUAACUUCGUGCCAGCCGCCGCCGUAA